UACGUAGGGUGCAAGCGUUAAUCGGAAUUACUGGGCGUAAAGCGUGCGCAGGCGGCUAUGCAAGACAGAUGUGAAAAUCCCCCGGGCUCAACCUGGGAACUGCAUUUGUGACUGCAUGGCUAGAGUGCGGCAGAGGGGGAUGGAAUUCCGCGUGUAGCAGUGAAAUGCGUAGAUAUGCGGAGAACACCGAUGGCGAAGGCAAUCCCCUGGGCCUGCACUGACGCUCAUGCACGAAAGCGUGGGGAGCAAACAGG
Molecule: ribosomal RNA, 254 nt
Filed under: uncultured bacterium
Lineage: Bacteria
Description: partial 16S ribosomal RNA
Rfam family: Bacterial small subunit ribosomal RNA
Source: RNAcentral